RNAcentral lists this transfer RNA (72 nucleotides) under Camelus bactrianus (Bactrian camel). It matches the Rfam family "tRNA". Rfam says of the family: Transfer RNA (tRNA) molecules are approximately 80 nucleotides in length. Their secondary structure includes four short double-helical elements and three loops (D, anti-codon, and T loops). RNAcentral also lists the same sequence under 2 other names. The record is from Rfam by way of RNAcentral. Lineage: Eukaryota; Metazoa; Chordata; Mammalia; Artiodactyla; Camelidae.
GGGAAUAUAGCUCAGUGGUAGACUGCAUGCCUACCAUGCAUGAGGUCCUGGUCUCAAUCCCCAGUACUUCCA